This is a non-coding RNA of Papio anubis (olive baboon), 148 nucleotides long. The record is from Rfam. Lineage: Eukaryota; Metazoa; Chordata; Mammalia; Primates; Cercopithecidae.
GCCGGGUGUAGUGGUGUGCACCUGUAAUCCCAACUACUUGGGAGGCUGAGGCAGGAGAAUUGCUUGAACCUGGGAGGAGGAGGUUGCAGUAAGCUGAGAUCACGCCACUGCACUCCAGCCUGGGUGACACAGCGAGACUCUGCCUCAA